CCGCCCGCCGCUCGCCGCAGCCCGGCCCGCCUCUGCCGUGGCUGCCCCGCGGGCGAGGGCAGCCCGCCCCGCGGGCAGGAGACCCCCAGGGGCACGGGGCUGGCGCCGGCGCCGGGCUGCUCUCCGCCAGGCCGCCGCAGGCCCCCUCGGCCUCGGUGGGUUUGGCGCUGCGCGGGCAGAGGCAACCCCGGACGGCGGGAAAACGACACCGCUGCCCCCCGACAAGACCUAGUAAUGAGCUUUUCUAACGUUCAUACGGUUUCAACGGCCCUUUAAGGAGAGAGGAGUUCCCGCCUGCACUGAAAGAAUAGCUCAACAUCUGUCAUCCCAUUCUCUACCAUGGCCCAAAAUCAGGAAGACUACAGCUGUCCUGUUCCUUUCAGAUACUUCUGGGAUAGAGAGGAAUCUUCUGGAUGCAAAUGUUUCCCACCAGUUCCCUCAGUCUGGAGUACAGAAUUGCUGGCUAUUGAGACCGCAUGUCUGUAUAUAGAUCACUACAAGCCAGCAGAGCGGAGGAGGAUCCCUGCACCUCCCUUCUAUCCUAACCACAAAGAGAGAAAGAAGCUCCCAUUCAGCUUCACGCUACCACCAGUGGCUGGCUGCUCUGGCUACUCAGCCCAGCUUAUCUACAGAUAACACAGAAAGGAAGGAUGGGGUAAAGGGUCAGUGUAAACUGUCACUUGCCUCCCUAUGAUCAGUAGACAAUUUCUUUACAGGAAGGUCUUAGGAAGGAUUUGGAAGAAGAUUGGGCAAAAUAAAUUAGGGAUUUUGAUAACCUCAUCCAAAACAAUUGGAAAACGUAGGCAAAAUCAAACAUCACAAAAUCUAUCCCCAAAGAAGCCUUAUCUCUGUUACAAGAAACAUGUUGUCAUAGCCUUACAGCUAUUGCAUCCAGCACUUAUAGUAGGUCCUUAGAUUUGUCAUGGGAUAUAGAAUGUAUUUUCAAUUAAAAAAAGGAAGUGAAAAAGCCCUUUCUUUUUUAAAAAUAGCUUAUUCAGAUGACAGACAGCUUAACUGUGAGUUUAUUCCCUUUAUUAAACUGAAGUUUACAAGAAUCAUGCUGAAAUAAACCUUCCAAGGUUUCUUGCUCUGUGUGUGCUCUUUUGGCUCAAUUCCUCUCCAUCUUGGUUUGUCAAAUAUGGUAUAGGCUAGGGACCAGGAAGCUUACUUUGUUCAAUAUAAAGGAAAUCUAACAGCAUUAAUCUGCCCUAGUUUUCUAGCCAACAGUGUGUUCUCAUGGUACCAAGGAAAUGUUUUCCAACUUAACAUCAGGUGAUUGAACUUCGCAGUAUCUGUUAAAUCAGCCUUCAAGCUUCAUGCUGUUCUUUUUUAAAUAAAAACGUCUACAUAUUUAUUCCUGGCUUUACUGUACUGUGAAGAGCUGUUAAAUUUCCAAUAAAAUGUUUAUUUAAUAAUAAUUAAAAGAAACUCA
This is a long non-coding RNA of Dromaius novaehollandiae (emu), 1432 nucleotides long. RefSeq lists it as uncharacterized. Lineage: Eukaryota; Metazoa; Chordata; Aves; Casuariiformes; Dromaiidae. The transcript has 3 exons. The record is from RefSeq and is a predicted model, not a curated record.